This 320-nucleotide ribosomal RNA is filed under the name uncultured eukaryote. RNAcentral describes it as "partial 18S ribosomal RNA". It matches the Rfam family "Eukaryotic small subunit ribosomal RNA", at positions 1470 to 1796 of the family's 1831-position model. The record is from RNAcentral.
CCCUUAGAUGUUCUGGGCCGCACGCGUGCUACACUGAUGCAUUCAACGAGUCUAAAACCUGGUCUGAUAGGGCUGGGUAAUCUUUUGAAAGUGCAUCGUGAUUGGGAUAGAUGAUUGCAAUUCUUCAUCUUCAACGAGGAAUGCCUAGUAAACGCAAGUCAUCAGCUCGUGCUGAUUACGUCCCUGCCCUUUGUACACACCGCCCGUCGCUGCAACUGAUUGGGUGACCUGGUGAACAUCUUGGACCGGUCCACUCAAUUUCGAGAGGACUGGAAAAGGCCGUAAAUCAGGUACAUCUAGAAAUUGCAAAAGUCGUAACA